RNAcentral lists this ribosomal RNA (433 nucleotides) under uncultured bacterium. RNAcentral's name for it is "partial 16S ribosomal RNA". It matches the Rfam family "Bacterial small subunit ribosomal RNA", at positions 29 to 507 of the family's 1533-position model. The record is from RNAcentral.
AACGAACGCUGGCGGCAUGCCUAACACAUGCAAGUCGAACGAGACCUUCGGGUUUAGUGGCGCACGCGUGCGUAACGCGUGGGAACCUGCCCUUAGGUUCGGAAUAACUCCCCGAAUGGGGUGCUAAUACCGGCUAAUGUCCUCGGACCAAAGAUUUAUCGCCUUUGGAUGGGCCUGCGUUGGAUUAGUUAGUUGGUAGGGUAAAAGCCUACCAAGGCGACGAUCCAUAGCUGGGCUGAGAGGAUGAUCAGCCACACUGGGACUGAGACACGGCCCAGACUCUUACGGGAGGCAGCAGUGGGGAAUAUUGGACAGUGGGCGGAAGCCUGAUCCAGCUAUGCCGCGUGAGUGAUGAAGGCCGUAGGGUUGGAAAGCUCGUUUACCCGGGAUGAUAAUGACGGUACCGGGAGAAUAAGCUCCGGCUAACUCCGUG